This 253-nucleotide ribosomal RNA is filed under the name uncultured bacterium. Its description in RNAcentral is "partial 16S ribosomal RNA". It matches the Rfam family "Bacterial small subunit ribosomal RNA", at positions 524 to 776 of the family's 1533-position model. The record is from RNAcentral.
GACGUACCGUGCAAACGUUGUUCGGAAUCACUGGGCUUAAAGGGCGCGUAGGCGGGCCAGCUAGUCUGUGGUGAAAGCCUCCAGCUUAACUGGAGAAGUGCCGUGGAUACUGCUGGCCUCGAGGAGGAUAGGGGCAUCUGGAACGGUCGGUGGAGCGGUGAAAUGCGUUGAUAUCGACCGGAACUCCGGUGGCGAAGGCGAGGUGCUGGGUCCUAUCUGACGCUGAUGCGCGAAAGCCAGGGGAGCAAACAGG